GGAUUCCCCUAGUAACUGCGAGUGAAGCGGGAAAAGCUCAAAUUUAAAAUCUGGCGCAAGCCCGAGUUGUAACCUAGAGAAGUGUUUUCGGCCAUUGACUUGGACAAGUCCCUUGGAACAGGGCGUCAUAGAGGGUGAGAAUCCCGUACUUGCCAAGCUCCCAAUGUCUAUGUGAUACGCUCUCGAAGAGUCGAGUUGUUUGGGAAUGCAGCUCAAAAUGGGUGGUAAAUUCCAUCUAAAGCUAAAUAUUGGCGAGAGACCGAUAGCGAACAAGUACCGUGAGGGAAAGAUGAAAAGCACUUUGGAAAGAGAGUUAAACAGUACGUGAAAUUGUUAAAAGGGAAGCGCUUGAAGUCAGUCGCGUCUUCAGGGACUCAGCCUUAACCGGUGCAUUUCCUUGUCGACGGGCCAACAUCGAUUUUGACCGUGGAAAAAAGACUUGGGGAAGGUGGCAGCCUCGGCUGUGUUAUAGCCUCUUGUCAUACGCCACGGUUGGGAUCGAGGACUGCGGCUUUUGCCUAGGAUGUUGGCGUAAUGGCUUUAAGCGACCCGU
Molecule: ribosomal RNA, 553 nt
Filed under: Heterotextus miltinus
Lineage: Eukaryota; Fungi; Basidiomycota; Dacrymycetes; Dacrymycetales; Dacrymycetaceae
Description: eukaryotic LSU rRNA
Rfam family: Eukaryotic large subunit ribosomal RNA
Source: RNAcentral